GCAUAGAUGGUUUAGUGGAAAAAUACUCGCCUGCCGCGCGGGCGGCCCGGAUUCAAUUCCCGCUGGAUGCA
This 71-nucleotide transfer RNA is filed under the name Daphnia magna. It matches the Rfam family "tRNA". From Rfam's summary of the family: Transfer RNA (tRNA) molecules are approximately 80 nucleotides in length. Their secondary structure includes four short double-helical elements and three loops (D, anti-codon, and T loops). Lineage: Eukaryota; Metazoa; Arthropoda; Branchiopoda; Diplostraca; Daphniidae. The record is from Rfam by way of RNAcentral.